AUGCACGUGGGCACAGACACUCUCCACGCGCGUGUACACACCCACCCACUCCAUGCUCACGUGCACACAUCACACCCACUAUGCACGCGCGCUUACUACAUACUCUGUACACCCCCGCCCACAGCAGACGUGCACACACCCCACACGCACACUUCGCCUACCCUACACACGCCCCCCACGUGUGGGCACACUUCCCCCGUGCACACACGUUUACAUACCCACACCCACACGCGCCGUGCACACACAUCCCCCGACAUGCACACACAUGUACGCGGCAUCGGCAGGACACCCUCCACACACCCUCAUAAAAUACCCCACGUGCACACACACACACACACACACACACACACACACACACGCACCUGCACGCACUCCCCUCACACGCACCAGGCACACACACAGCUUGCUCUUCCACUUCCCCCCCCCCAGGUACCUUCUGAGGUCAGGCCCCUCCUGCUGCCUCCCUUCCCACCCUGGGGAGGGUUUUCAGGGGCCUGGGGCGGGCCGGCUGAAGUGACCUUGCUUUUGAGCCCCCAGGUCCCAGCUCUCCGGGAAGGUGGUAGAGGCUGCCCCUGGGAGAAGGAGCCCCUCGCGCUGAAGGAGCCCCUCGUCUGCAGCUCCAGGGCAGCCCCUGGUGAGAGCGGGCCCGGGACCCCGCCGGCCUGGCCAUCUUGGCCGCCCUGGCUGGGCAGAGAGGGGGUGACCAUGGAACGCGUGGCCGGAGUGCUCGGAGGGAGAGGUGCUCUCCUUCCCCCAGACUGGGGUGCAGUGGCGGAGGCCCGGAGGACUUCUGGGGUCGUCCCCACCGGCCUUCGGGUGAGUUCAGCUUCUCUUUCUGUCGUGUCAUUUCUGGUAUUGGAUACAAUGUCGUGCCUUUCUCUUCCACGGCGUCGGCUUUACCGAGUGCCCCUCAGGAGCCUCGGCGGCCCCGCAGAAGUCUGCGGAUGAUACAGUGUAGUCUGUGCAUACAAAUGGCGGUGUGACCGUCCACGUGUCAGUGUAGCCUGCGUACUUACACAUCCUGCAGUAGGUGGACCCGUAUAUGUCACUGCAGCAAGAAUGUGUCACUGUUAUAAAUGGACAAAUGGUAGACUUUAUGUGAAGACUUUGAUGAGGACUAGUUUCUGUCCUCAGUAUUAUUAAUUAUGCAGAUCAUUUUUCUAGUGCUGAAUUGUCCUUACACUGCUG
This 1188-nucleotide long non-coding RNA is filed under the name Phascolarctos cinereus (koala). Its description in RNAcentral is "lncRNA (ENSPCIG00000033274.1)". The record is from RNAcentral. Lineage: Eukaryota; Metazoa; Chordata; Mammalia; Diprotodontia; Phascolarctidae.